CCACCAGAGAGCGGGACUUGACCAAACCUGACGCACCACCGCAGCCCUUCAGUUAAAUGCAUUAUCGUAAAUGUAGAAUUUCGAAAGAAUUUAAGAUUUUGACUUGAUCCACCUUUCAAGUUACGGAGGCGAGUGACCAGUUUACUCCGGAUGUGCUGAGCAGCACAGUCAUUAAUGCGUUUCCCUCCCAGGUUCAAAGCCCAUGUCCAGGUGUAAUACUCCUGAGCGCGGUACUCACAUUGAACCACUCCAGUAAUAGCUACCCAGCUCUAAAGAGGUAAAACAUUGUAAGCUGCUCUGGAAAGAAGCAUCAAAUAAAGGCAUAAAUAUUAAGCUUCAGUUGGGGGCAGCUGAUGGCGUAGUGCAUGGAACUGAUGGUUGCAGGUUUGAAUCCCACCUCCGGCUGUGGAACCUUUGAGAAAGGUACUUACCCUAAACUGCUCCGGUAAAAUCGCCCAGCGGUAAACAUGGGUAAAACGCCGCGAGUCGCUUCGGGGGAAAGUGCCAGGUUACCGCAGAUGUUUGCGGUCGCUCCGAACUCGACCGCGGAAGGUGACGGGCCUACAGCGAACGCGCCGGCGCCUCUCCCUCGGCAUCGCGCCGCCACGUGAAGGAUCUGGAGCACUCGUCAAUUGCACUUCCAAUCUUCGAUUAAUUAAUUUCGCUGUGCAUUGAUUACGCUCAUGUGUACGCCUCAUUUAGUAGAUCGGGGGGCGUAAUUAUAGCGCCGACGACGGUGCGCGCGCUCCCCGCAUGAGUCAUUAUUGCAGAGUCGAGCCGUUGGAGAGCUGUUGAGCGCCAGUUGGAGGAGUUCGCAUCCGCCGCUUUCCUCCGCGGGCCCCAGCGGCCGAGUCAAGCUUCUCGACGGGCCGACGGCGGAACGGGUUCGAGGCGCGGCGCUUCGGUCAAGGAGCUCGCGAUGAGGGCCCGGCUGACGGGGGGAGCUAUCGAUCACCGGCCGAGGGAGGAACGGGAGCGAUAGGAGGCGGGCUGCCGGUUCGAGGAGUCCACCGGCUGACCGGCGGCACCGGGCAGGAGGCCCACGCCGCAGCGGCAGGGCGCAGCGCGGCGGCCCAGAGUCCAUCCCGGAAGCUUGGGCUGCGAGGAAGGGUACACCUCCAGGAGACCAGUGCAUCGAAGGGCACCCAGUCUCUCUCUCACACACACACACUGAAAGUCUUUUGUUCCUAAGUCCACUUUUACCACUAUGUCACAAUCAAUAAAAGCUUAAUAAUA
Scleropages formosus (Asian bonytongue) is the source of this 1236-nucleotide long non-coding RNA. RefSeq lists it as uncharacterized. The record is from RefSeq and is a predicted model, not a curated record. NCBI's taxonomy places the organism in Eukaryota, Metazoa, Chordata, Actinopteri, Osteoglossiformes, Osteoglossidae. The transcript is spliced from 3 exons.